RNAcentral lists this non-coding RNA (143 nucleotides) under Mesorhizobium ciceri biovar biserrulae WSM1271. Its description in RNAcentral is "Mesorhizobail RNA 10". It matches the Rfam family "Mesorhizobail RNA 10". From Rfam's summary of the family: Existence predicted via genome wide comparisons with 4 related strains. Analysed further by deep sequencing and Northern blot under various stress conditions. Exhibited 2 bands. Lineage: Bacteria; Pseudomonadati; Pseudomonadota; Alphaproteobacteria; Hyphomicrobiales; Phyllobacteriaceae. The record is from Rfam by way of RNAcentral.
UUCGUCGGCGGCAGCGUGAUGCGGCGCCAGCAUCAGAAGGGCCAAAAGGAGCGCCCGGCGGAUCCGGCCGGGCGGGAAAAGAAAGCGCGUCGAUGAAAAGCCGGCUGGCCCAGGAAAGCGCAUGGCGUGAAGUAUGGCCGAUA